UGCGCAGGCGGUUUCGUAAGCCAGACGUGAAAUCCCCGGGCUUAACCUGGGAACUGCGUUUGGGACUGCGAGGCUGGAGUACGGCAGAGGGAGGUGGAAUUCCAAGUGUAGCAGUGAAAUGCGUAGAUAUUUGGAGGAACACCGAUGGCGAAGGCAGCCUCCUGGGCUAGUACUGACGCUCAUGCACGAAAGCGUGGGGAGCAAACAGGAUUAGAUACCCUGGUAGUCCACGCCCUAAACGAUGGCGACUAGUUGUUGGGGAUUUAACAUCCUUAGUAACGCAGCUAACGCGUGAAGUCGCCCGCCUGGGGAGUACGGUCGCAAGAUUAAA
This 331-nucleotide ribosomal RNA is filed under the name uncultured bacterium. Its description in RNAcentral is "bacterial SSU rRNA". It matches the Rfam family "Bacterial small subunit ribosomal RNA", at positions 568 to 898 of the family's 1533-position model. The record is from RNAcentral.